Molecule: ribosomal RNA, 437 nt
Filed under: uncultured Oscillospiraceae bacterium
Lineage: Bacteria; Bacillati; Bacillota; Clostridia; Eubacteriales; Oscillospiraceae
Description: bacterial SSU rRNA
Rfam family: Bacterial small subunit ribosomal RNA
Source: RNAcentral
ACGGGAGGCAGCAGUGGGGAAUAUUGGGCAAUGGGCGAAAGCCUGACCCAGCGACGCCGCGUGAAGGAAGACGGUCUUCGGAUUGUAAACUUCUUUUAUGUAGGACGAAGAAAAUGACGGUACUACAUGAAUAAGCCACGGCUAACUACGUGCCAGCAGCCGCGGUAAUACGUAGGUGGCGAGCGUUAUCCGGAUUUACUGGGUGUAAAGGGUGUGUAGGCGGGACUGCAAGUCAGAAGUGAAAAUUAUGGGCUCAACUCAUAACUUGCUUUUGAGACUGUGGUUCUUGAGGGUCGGAGAGGUAACUGGAAUUCCUGGUGUAGCGGUGAAAUGCGUAGAUAUCAGGAGGAACACCGGUGGCGAAGGCGGGUUACUGGACGAUUACUGACGCUGAGACACGAAAGCGUGGGGAGCAAACAGGAUUAGAUACCCUGGUA